CACGUAGUUAGCCGGUGCUUCUUCUACCACUACCGUCACAAAAGCUUCGUCAUGGUUGAAAGGAGUUUACAACCCGAAGGCCGUCAUCCCCCACGCGGCGUCGCUGCAUCAGGCUUGCGCCCAUUGUGCAAUAUUCCCCACUGCUGCCUCCCGUAGGAGUCUGGGCCGUGUCUCAGUCCCAAUGUGGCCGUCCACCCUCUCAGGCCGGCUACCCGUCGCCGCCUUGGUAGGCCAUUACCCCACCAACAAGCUGAUAGGCCGCGAGCUCAUCCUGCACCGAAAAACUUUCCACCACCAGUACCAACCAAUGGUCCUAUCCGGUAUUAGACCCAGUUUCCCAGGCUUAUCCCGAAGUGCAGGGCAGAUCACCCACGUGUUACUCACCCGUUCGCCACUCGAGUACCGGGUGCAAGCACCCGGCCUUUCCGUUCGACUUGCAUGUGCUAAGCACGCCGCCAGCGUCGUCUCGUAGCCACGGAGUCGAACUACU
Molecule: ribosomal RNA, 490 nt
Filed under: uncultured Corynebacterium sp.
Lineage: Bacteria; Bacillati; Actinomycetota; Actinomycetes; Mycobacteriales; Corynebacteriaceae
Description: partial 16S ribosomal RNA
Source: RNAcentral